UCGAGCGAACGGACGAGAAGCUUGCUUCUCUGAUGUUAGCGGCGGACGGGUGAGUAACACGUGGAUAACCUACCUAUAAGACUGGGAUAACUUCGGGAAACCGGAGCUAAUACCGGAUAAUAUUUUGAACCGCAUGGUUCAAAAGUAAAAGACGGUCUUGCUGUCACUUAUAGAUGGAUCCGCGCUGCAUUAGCUAGUUGGUAAGGUAACGGCUUACCAAGGCAACGAUGCAUAGCCGACCUGAGAGGGUGAUCGGCCACACUGGAACUGAGACACGGUCCAGACUCCUACGGGAGGCAGCAGUAGGGAAUCUUCCGCAAUGGGCGAAAGCCUGACGGAGCAACGCCGCGUGAGUGAUGAAGGUCUUCGGAUCGUAAAACUCUGUUAUUAGGGAAGAACAUAUGUGUAAGUAACUGUGCACAUCUUGACGGUACCUAAUCAGAAAGCCACGGCUAACUACGUGCCAGCAGCCGCGGUAAUACGUAGGUGGCAAGCGUUAUCCGGAAUUAUUGGGCGUAAAGCGCGCGUAGGCGGUUUUUUGAGUCUGAUGUGAAAGCCCACGGCUCAACCGUGGAGGGUCAUUGGAAACUGGAAAACUUGAGUGCAGAAGAGGAAAGUGGAAUUCCAUGUGUAGCGGUGAAAUGCGCAGAGAUAUGGAGGAACACCAGUGGCGAAGGCGACUUUCUGGUCUGU
This 693-nucleotide ribosomal RNA is filed under the name uncultured Staphylococcus sp. RNAcentral describes it as "bacterial SSU rRNA". It matches the Rfam family "Bacterial small subunit ribosomal RNA", at positions 62 to 737 of the family's 1533-position model. The record is from RNAcentral. Lineage: Bacteria; Bacillati; Bacillota; Bacilli; Caryophanales; Staphylococcaceae.